AAGUUGCGCCGAGGUGGUUGCGCCUGCGCAAUGCAUCACCGCACACGGGGCUCGCGGGUCCGGGAGCGCGACGGAGACGAUGCCUGAGAUCAGAGUCACGCCCUUGGGGGCCGGCCAGGACGUGGGCCGAAGCUGCAUCCUGGUCUCCAUUGCGGGCAAGAAUGUCAUGCUGGACUGUGGAAUGCACAUGGGCUUCAAUGACGACGUGAGUCCCUCGGGCAGGAGGCCCAGAGGCUGGGAGAGCCGGCCAUCCACAGCUGGACCCUGGGCCUCAGAGCCGGGACAGUGGGGCAGUGGGCAGCAGUGGUUGUGCUUGGACGGCUGCACCCUGUGGGGAGCAGGGAUGGGUGGGCCUGGCCGAGGCGAGCCCCUGCAUGGGAGGGUCCCCCUGUGCUGGCGCUGGGCCCCAGUCCCGGGGUCCUGUAGGCUGGGCUCAGUGAGACCUUGGGCUCAGCUUCCAGCUCACAUCUGUCAGUGAGGUUGGGGGUAACCUCGGCCCCUCCGGAUGCUGUGAGCAGUCAGGGGUCCUGGUGCCAUCUGUGGGGUGGGAGUGCCCAGCAUGAGUCUGCACAUAGAACCCCCCUUCCUGGGGGCCCCUCCCUGGGGCAUGGGUGGCCCCAGAUGCUGCCUGGAGACCACUGCGCAACCUGAAACCCCCACGUCCUUCCCAGCGACGCUUCCCUGACUUCUCCUACAUCACCCAGAAUGGCCGCCUGACAGACUUCCUGGACUGCGUGAUCAUUAGCCACUUCCACCUGGACCACUGCGGGGCACUCCCCUACUUCAGCGAGAUGGUGGGCUACGACGGGCCCAUCUACAUGACCCACCCCACCCAGGCCAUCUGCCCCAUCUUGCUGGAGGACUACCGCAAGAUCGCCGUGGACAAGAAGGGCGAGGCCAACUUCUUCACCUCCCAGAUGAUCAAAGACUGCAUGAAGAAGGUGGUGGCUGUCCACCUCCACCAGACGGUCCAGGUUAGGUUCCCAGAGCCACAGACGGCACAGUCACUGCCCACCCCCACACCAACCAUGCCCUCUGCCCAUUCUACACAGUCUCUGGAAGGCUGGGGCCUCAGGGUGAGCCCACCCCACCUCACUCUUGCAUCCAGCACUGUGGGGACACCAGGAGGCGGCAGCGCGAGGAUGUGGGUCCCAGACUGGACUGGGCGCCGACCUGCGAGAGCACUUGCACGGUGGGGGUGUCCCCCGGCCUACGAACCCACCUGGCUCUGUCCGAGCGGCAUUGAAAUGGCCAGAGUGGGACAGGCUGGUGCCCUCAGAGCGCUUGGAGCGGCCAGAGACUCGCUGGAGCUCCUGGGGUGUUGCCGGGCAGGGAGGCAGGGGCCGGAGGGGAGAUGGGCCAGCUCUGGAGGGUGCCUGGUUCUGGGUGUGGGUCAGGGAGGAAGUGAAAGUUAAAUCAGCGAGUGACAGGUGAAAUUCCCUUUCUGACAAAGAUUAUGGGUUUGUCUGUGUCUCGUUAGAGUCUGUGGGUGUUGCUUUUAUAUUUCUUGAAACUAUAUUAGGUACCUAUGUAUUUUGGAACACUUUAUCUUUCUGAUUGAACUUCUUGUCAAGGUGAAGUAUAUUUAUCUUU
RNAcentral lists this small RNA (1593 nucleotides) under Pongo abelii (Sumatran orangutan). Its description in RNAcentral is "retained intron". The record is from RNAcentral. Lineage: Eukaryota; Metazoa; Chordata; Mammalia; Primates; Hominidae.